RNAcentral lists this ribosomal RNA (598 nucleotides) under Blastophaga psenes. RNAcentral describes it as "eukaryotic LSU rRNA". It matches the Rfam family "Eukaryotic large subunit ribosomal RNA", at positions 647 to 1163 of the family's 3401-position model. Lineage: Eukaryota; Metazoa; Arthropoda; Insecta; Hymenoptera; Agaonidae. The record is from RNAcentral.
ACCCGUCUUGAAACACGGACCAAGGAGUCUAACAUGUGCGCGAGUCAUUGGGUUAUUGUUAAAAGCGAAUAAGCCUAAAGGCGCAAUGAAAGUGAAGGUCGACCUUAGCGUCGAUCGAGGGAGGAUGUCCCGGGCUCGCUCGGGUCCGCACUCCCGGGGCGUCUCACGGUCAUUUCGACCAGAGGCGCACCCAGAGCGUACACGUUGGGACCCGAAAGAUGGUGAACUAUGCCUGGUCAGGACGAAGUCAGGGGAAACCCUGAUGGAGGUCCGUAGCGAUUCUGACGUGCAAAUCGAUCGUCGGAACUGGGUAUAGGGGCGAAAGACUAAUCGAACCAUCUAGUAGCUGGUUCCCUCCGAAGUUUCCCUCAGGAUAGCUGGCACUCGCUCGAUAGCGAGUCUCAUCUGGUAAAGCGAAUGAUUAGAGGCCUUGGGGCCGAAACGACCUCAACCUAUUCUCAAACUUUAAAUGGGUGAGAUCUCUGGCUUGCUUGAACGUUGAAGCCAUGAGAUCGCGCCUCCUCUUUAUGACGGGGGCGCCUCACGGAUCAGAGUGCCAAGUGGGCCAAUUUUGGUAAGCAGAACUGGCGCUGUGGGA